CAAGUAAUUGUAAUGCAGUGAGAAAUUGAAUUGAGAUUAUUUACACGUUUCAUCUUACAAAUGCAUAUAAGAAAAAAAUUUUAAGAUCACAAAUUUUUAACAUCCACACAUACUCAAUACACGCAGAAACAAAGUCAAUGCAUUUUAAGAUCAAACUUUUCAAGAAGGCUCUGCAUCUGAGCAACAAUAGCUAAGCUAUUACUCAAGAACUCCGUAGAAUUCUUCAUCUUAGCCUUUACCUCAUCAAGAACCGUUGAUCCCAUCUCCUCCAAGCCAUCCACGCAAGUCUGCUGAUCGGUCAUGGCACCGCUGAUCCACGUCUGGAUAUCGUUGAUCUUCUCCAACGUCAACGCUUUUUCUCCAGGGCCAACCUCCAUUGCCGACAGCGAAUCAUUAAGUCUACCCAGCGCCUCAUCAAAGAUACUCACACAGUCGUUUAUAGCAGCCUUAGAGUUGGCGUCGUUGAGAGUUCUGAAUAGGGAAGAAACGUUUUUGAGCUCUUUAACUGAGA
Molecule: unclassified non-coding RNA, 511 nt
Filed under: Hevea brasiliensis (rubber tree)
Lineage: Eukaryota; Viridiplantae; Streptophyta; Magnoliopsida; Malpighiales; Euphorbiaceae
Source: RNAcentral